UUCCGUAGGUGAACCUGCGGAAGGAUCAUUCGCACAAAGAAUAUCUUUUACACCCGCCACGCACCACACAGUGCUUUCUGUUUUUAAUCAGGAUUUAUAUCCAACUCGUCGAUGUUGCGAUUCCAUUGCAAUGUAUGCGAUGUUAUCUAUCUCUUGCGACGACGAAUGCCUUGGCUCGAGGAUCGUUGAAGGACGCAGCGAACUGUGCUAAACAUCUCGAAUUGCAGAUUUCCGAGAAAGAAAAGGAUUCUGAACGCACUUUGCGAAUUGACCUCGUGUCAGUUCACUUGAUUGGCGGUGACCGCAAUAUGCAGUCGCUCGAACUCCGAAGUUUGAGUGGUGUGCACGUGUUGUUGCAGAUUGUUGCACCGACAUGUUCGUAGAAUUCGACGCGCCUCUCGUUUUCGAGCAGCAUUAUGACUUCGUGUUAUGAUGUUCGAAAGCAGGGACCGUUUCUUGUUUGGUUUUCCAAACGAUUCUUUCGCACGCUCACGACCAGUCAAGGGAUUACCCGCUGAAUUUAAGCAUAUCAA
Molecule: ribosomal RNA, 533 nt
Filed under: uncultured eukaryote
Lineage: Eukaryota
Description: eukaryotic LSU rRNA
Rfam family: 5.8S ribosomal RNA (bases 151-303)
Source: RNAcentral